RNAcentral lists this long non-coding RNA (3202 nucleotides) under Theobroma cacao (cacao). Its description in RNAcentral is "long non-coding RNA (TCAC_LNC005252)". The record is from RNAcentral. Lineage: Eukaryota; Viridiplantae; Streptophyta; Magnoliopsida; Malvales; Malvaceae.
GGUUGUCUAUACAUCUCAAAAAGAAGACUCAAUUUCCAGUGGAGUAACCAUAGCGAAGGUGCAGCUACUGAAUGCCAUUGAUACCUACCAAAAGAUGGAUACAAGUCUACGAGGACACCUCGUCCUAGUUACCGACUGCCUCUUGAUCUGAAAACAUGAAGUUGAAAACAAUGAGUAUAAACCUAGUGAGUGAACAUGAAAGGGAACAAGCAAACAUUAAGGAAUGUUUAACAAAAUCAUGAUGCAUUCAUUUUUCAAAAUAAUGCAAUUUGUUUUAGUUCUUAUUAAAACCCCUCAUGUAAACCCCACAUGAGUAAAUCAUUUUAUGAAAAGGGUCCAUGCUCAACAAAGGAUUUGGAGAGUGAAAAACGAAAAUGCCUUUCCGCUGCAGUGACACUUGAUUUAAAUUAUCAACUAACCGAGGGUUUCUCACGAAACCUCUUCAUUUUAAACUUAAUUCAUUUAUUCCUUAAUGUUGGAAGUCCAUGCUUAACUAUGGUACCAAAGAAAUUGAAAAUAGCGUAGCAACCAAACCAAAUAAGGAGCCAAACAGAAAGUUUUUCGCUACAGCGAGAUUCAAUCUCCCCGUAGCGAAAUUUUUGGUCUCAAAACAAAAAGUUUCUCGCUGCAGCGAGAUUUCGGCCAACAUCACCCCUCCAAACCCGAGAGUUUCUCGCUGUAGUGAGAUUCAAUCUCGCUUUAGCAAGAAACAGGGCACCAGCAAAAAAAUUCCAUUCCACUCAAGAAAAAGCCAUCCUAUUGUGUUAACAAAAACAACAUGAAACACAUAAAUUCCCAAAAUUGAACCAGUCAAAUUCUAACAGUUUGCAUCACAACCAUAUACCAUAUAUGUAUAUAUAUAUAUAUCAAUCAUCAUGCACACCCUACCAUCAUCAUCAGCUCAUAUGCAUUGACUUAUGCGCACUCCCACUCGCACAUAGCUGGGUCAGCAUCGGCUUAUGCACACUCCUACUCGCACAUAGCCAAGUCAAUAUCAUUACACAACAUUAUUUAUAUAUAUAUAUAUAUAUAUAUAUCAACAUAAUGUAGUAAUACAACAAUCCAUAAUAGCCACAUGUCACACAUAAAGACAAUUUAUCAAAGGCUUGUUCCCAAGGCACCCGUUUUAAGAAAGAUUGAAUAAAUCAUUCACAUUCCCAAAACUAUUUUUGAAAUGCAAGUUCAUUCAUCGGUAUUUGUUAAAUCCUUUAGUCGACUCUAACUUCUCUAAUUGUCCAAAUGGGACAAUAGGGCUUCGUUGAAACCUAUUAUCACAUUAACAUCACCAUUAAGUCAAUUCACAAGCUUAUGAAUUCUAAAAGCUUUUUCUUAGCUAGCUUCGAUGGCCAUUUAAAUGGCUAUCUAUUCUCACUACCCUUAUCACUCUAAAAUGAAUAAUCAACCCUAACUACCAAUUCACCCCCAAAUCUAAACACUAAUCAUUCUCAACACUAAAAAUCAACUUUAGUUUGCUACUCACCUUAAUAGCUUUGUAACCUUGAAAUUCUUUCCAACAAUUCCCAAGCUAUUAUAGGGGCUUUCUUUCUCUUUUCUCUCUAAACACCUAGUUAGUGAGAGAAAGUAUCGAAGUGGGAGUUUUUAAGGGUUUUAAAGUAAGAAAGUGAAAGAACACAAGGGACAAAGGUAUGAAAAUUAGAGCUAGAGAGAGAAAGUUAUGAAAGUUUCAUACCAUGCUUCCAUGGAGGAUGGAAGCACCAUGAAAUGGAAGAAGAAGAAGGAGAAAAGCUACUAGAGAAUGUAGAAGCUGCUGAAAGGAAAAGAUAUUUAUAACCUAAGCUUAUCCACUCCACUUAAAUUACCAAAAUGCCCCUCCAUAAAUUAGCUUAUUCUCCUCCAAUCUUUUAUGAAAUCUUUUACUCUUUUGACACUGGGACAAGGUCCAUAAUGGUCUAAAAAUGCUCGAGUUCAUGAAAACUUAAAAUAUUUUACCUAAGGUGAAAAAUGACCAUUUUGCCCCUACCAUGAAAAUCAUCACCAUUUUGAUUUCCUUUGUCAUUUUACCUUUAUUUAAUCAUCCAUUUAUGCCUUAGGCCUAGUUAGGCCAUAAUAUUGUUUAAAACUUACUUUUAGGGGCUUACUAAGGAAAUGAUGAAAUUACCUCUAAUUAGGGAUAUCGCGUGUACUUCUAUCUACUAGUCUAUAAAGGUCAAGGUCUCACAUGGUCUUUCCUUGGAGAAUCAAAUUACGCAUAGGGCCAAAGUAGCUGGUGAAAAGUCAAAGUCAUCGACUGAAGUAAUCUCUCAACGAUCGGCAUCAUUUGAAGUAUUCUCAUGCAGGUGGCAUCAUAAUCAUCAUUUAGAGUAAUCUCCUAACGGAUGGCAUCAUACACUACAAGUGCGAAUCAUAGACGGGAUAUCAACCACUGCCCUUAUUUACCACAAUCUUUGAGGUAAGGACAUAGUUACAAGGCAUCGAACUCCACUCAUCCGUAAAUCAGAUCAACAUUUUGAAUUCACCCCUCGAACAAAAACACAAAUCCAUAAUUAAAGCCAUCAUGCCUUUAUCAGUCACAUUUUUCGCAUCAAACCUCAAUUCACAUUUAUCGAGCUUUAAUUGUUUUAAGCUCGGUUAAAUUCUAGGUGCCUCUAAGUCUCCAAAGCCUCGUUUAAUCAAAUUAUCUCAACUUAUCAGUCACUUAGGGUAAUCCACUUAUAGGGGUUCAACAUAGCCUACAGGCUUUUUAGUCUAGGCUUACACAACAUAGGGCACCCAUGUGGUUCACAUCAUGACGCAAUCACACACAAUUCACAUAUAUACAUCUACAGAGAUAUUGUUCUCUAGCCUAGGUUCAUUCAUCUAGGCCUAUGUACAAAAUCUAAUACUAGUGUAGUGCAUUUAUAGUGCGUUAUGCAUCACGUGCAUUUAGCUUAAAUCCCACUCAUAGUGACAAUAAGAGGAACUCUCAGCCAAGCUCCGAUCCUUAGCCUUUGAUUAUGGUUUACUUGCCGAUGAGUCGAUGCAACUCCAUUUCUCGUUUCAAAUAUAUCAGAACAUCAAAAGAUUAAUUAUUCUUGGCUUUCAAAAAAUGCUAACUUUUUACCCAAUUAACUAAAUCUUAGCAAUCCAACAAUUUAAGCUCAAAUCUUUCAUUAACAAGCUAAACUCAUACCUUGGAAGUCAGAUUGCAUGAGUCUUAGCUCCGAGUUCCCCAAUGAAAGCGAAAAAGGGAAAAUUACCAAAU